Molecule: transfer RNA, 90 nt
Filed under: bacterium (Candidatus Gribaldobacteria) CG_4_10_14_0_8_um_filter_33_9
Lineage: Bacteria; Candidatus Gribaldobacteria
Description: tRNA-Ser
Rfam family: tRNA
About the family: Transfer RNA (tRNA) molecules are approximately 80 nucleotides in length.
Source: RNAcentral
GGAGGAGUCGCAUAGCGGCCUAGUGCGACACGGUGCUAACGUGUUAACUCCGCAAGGGGUUCGCGAGUUCGAAUCUCGCCUCCUCCGCCA